This is a long non-coding RNA of Stylophora pistillata, 353 nucleotides long. RefSeq lists it as uncharacterized. Lineage: Eukaryota; Metazoa; Cnidaria; Anthozoa; Scleractinia; Pocilloporidae. The record is from RefSeq and is a predicted model, not a curated record.
UUUAAUCUCAGGCUUAGUAGCUUCAGUUCAGAGCUAAAGAACUCUUCAGAAAUUUUAAGCAGCUUCAGUUCACAGCUAAAGAACUCCUCAGAAAUUUCAAGAGCAUUUAAUCACAGCUUUAGCAGCUUCAGUUCAGAGCUAAAGAACUCUUCAGAGAUUUAAAGAACAGAGUGGUAACCCAGCACCAUGUAGUUCAGGCAAUACCCAAGUGCAACUCGCACCCGGUAAAACGGCUAGCGGCCACAAAUGGAAGUGAACAGGCUCUGUGCCUAUUGGGUAUGAGGAACAAAGGAAAAGAGAUUGUAGACACAAGUGCCAUCAGGCGUGCGAGGACGCAAAAGAGGGUGGGCCAA